GAUGAACGCUGGCGGCGUGCCUAAUACAUGCAAGUCGAGCGAACAGACGAGGAGCUUGCUCCUCUGACGUUAGCGGCGGACGGGUGAGUAACACGUGGAUAACCUACCUAUAAGACUGGGAUAACUUCGGGAAACCGGAGCUAAUACCGGAUAACAUGUUGAACCGCAUGGUUCAACAGUGAAAGACGGUCUUGCUGUCACUUAUAGAUGGAUCCGCGCCGCAUUAGCUAGUUGGUAAGGUAACGGCUUACCAAGGCAACGAUGCGUAGCCGACCUGAGAGGGUAAUCGGCCACCCUGGAACUGAGACACGGUCCAGACUCCUACGGGAGGCAGCAGUAGGGAAUCUUCCGCAAUAGGCGAAAGCCUGACGGAGCAACGCCGCGUGAGUGAAGAAGGUCUUCGGAUCGUAAAACUCUGUUAUUAGGGAAGAACAAAUGUGUAAGUAACUAUGCACGUCUUGACGGUACCUAAUCAGAAAGCCACGGCUAACUACGUG
RNAcentral lists this ribosomal RNA (497 nucleotides) under uncultured bacterium. Its description in RNAcentral is "partial 16S ribosomal RNA". It matches the Rfam family "Bacterial small subunit ribosomal RNA", at positions 28 to 507 of the family's 1533-position model. The record is from RNAcentral.